AAACUGUCUACCUUGGUCAUGCGUGAUGGUGUGAGGUAUUCCGAACCUAGAGAAAUAAUUUCGAAAGAGAGUAUCGGCUAUCGUUGAAGCGGCGAUAUCUUUGAGCGGAAAAGCUUCUGGCCAGCGAGUGAAGCGGUCAAUUGCAGUGAGUAAGUUUUAAUUGUUGUACCGUUGGCAGCGGAAAGCGAAGAGAUGGUAUCUUGUUUUCGAUUUGAAUAAAAUUUAAAAGGUAGUACAGAAACAUCGGCUCCAGUGUCAAUUAAAAAAUUUAGAUUAUUUUGGUUGUCGAAAAUGAAAAGACGCGAACUUGUAGGAUUGAUAGAAAAUUGGGAUUGCCAUUUUGGCGAAAUUUUGAAUUUGGAAAAAGAUGGUUUUCUAUUGAAACUGGGUAUUAGUUUUUGGGUGGGACAAAUUAUUUGUUUUAUUGUUGAACGAUGUGGAAAAUUUACACCAAGAUCCUUGGCAUUUCUCCGCCCUAUCAGCGAAUUUAUGGUGAUACCAACAUAUAUAUUAGAAGGCGCAGAGGAAUUUGACUACCACGCGAAUGUUGGGAUGAGGAGCGCGAUCUACUUCUGGAGUAAUGGCAACUACGACAGCGUUGGGGGAGACGGAAGUCGUUGGGAUAAGGCUUGAAUAGUGACUGAAAGGUUUUGAAGAGAUGCUGUUAUAUCUUCUUGGGAACGAGUCGCGAAAGAGACAACUGGAAGGGGUCUGGGACAACUGGGCUGUUGCUCUGCUGUUGUCUGGAGCGAUGUGGUUCGGGUGUAGGUUUAAAAUAAUCGUUAGGGCAGGUUCAAAUAUUCGUCGGAGUAGGUUCAAAUCAUCUUGGUGUGCAGGUUCUAAU
Onthophagus taurus is the source of this 844-nucleotide non-coding RNA. Lineage: Eukaryota; Metazoa; Arthropoda; Insecta; Coleoptera; Scarabaeidae. The record is from RefSeq and is a predicted model, not a curated record.